Sphaerodactylus townsendi is the source of this 516-nucleotide long non-coding RNA. RefSeq lists it as uncharacterized. The transcript is spliced from 2 exons. The record is from RefSeq and is a predicted model, not a curated record. Lineage: Eukaryota; Metazoa; Chordata; Lepidosauria; Squamata; Sphaerodactylidae.
UUGUUGUGUAAAACAACAUGAGCUACGUAAUGAAUAUGAAGCACUGCUGACCUGUUUUCCAUUUGAUUACAUAAUUCAAAUAAUAUUACAAAAUACUAGGCUUACAGUAAGCCUCCUUUGUGUGCUACUUUUUUAUUCCGCUAACACAGUAGACUACAGGAUGGCAAUUCAUUUUUCACCACCAGGUUAAAAGAUGGAAACUCCAGGAGAGGACGGGAAAGGACUGCUGUGAGUAUAAACGAGAUAAGAAUUGUAUGUGAAUUUCUGCUGUCAAACUCUGCGCUCCUGUCCAGAGGCCUGAUGUCAACAUAUCAUUUACCAAUGUUUCAAAGACAGAUGAGGCCUGAAUAAAUGUUUGGAAAACAUCUGCAGGAAAACAGACAUGGUUGGCUUGUGCACAGAUUCUUUUUGGAAAGAUUUUUGGGAUUUGGUAUUAUGAUUCCCCCUUCCUUAUUUCUCUGAACCCACUCCCGUUAAUUAAAACAUAAGGAAAAUAAAGUUGGAGAGUAUCUGGUA